RNAcentral lists this ribosomal RNA (1359 nucleotides) under uncultured bacterium. RNAcentral's name for it is "bacterial SSU rRNA". It matches the Rfam family "Bacterial small subunit ribosomal RNA", at positions 28 to 1381 of the family's 1533-position model. The record is from RNAcentral.
GAUGAACGCUAGCUACAGGCUUAACACAUGCAAGUCGAGGGGCAGCAUUUCAGUUUGCUUGCAAACUGGAGAUGGCGACCGGCGCACGGGUGAGUAACACGUAUCCAACCUGCCGAUAACUCGGGGAUAGCCUUUCGAAAGAAAGAUUAAUACCCGAUGGUAUAAUCAGACCGCAUGGUCUUGUUAUUAAAGAAUUUCGGUUAUCGAUGGGGAUGCGUUCCAUUAGGCAGUUGGUGAGGUAACGGCUCACCAAACCUUCGAUGGAUAGGGGUUCUGAGAGGAAGGUCCCCCACAUUGGAACUGAGACACGGUCCAAACUCCUACGGGAGGCAGCAGUGAGGAAUAUUGGUCAAUGGGCGCAGGCCUGGACCAGCCAAGUAGCGUGAAGGAUGACUGCCCUAUGGGUUGUAAACUUCUUUUAUAUGGGAAUAAAGUUUUCCACGUGUGGAAUUUUGUAUGUACCAUAUGAAUAAGGAUCGGCUAACUCCGUGCCAGCAGCCGCGGUAAUACGGAGGAUCCGAGCGUUAUCCGGAUUUAUUGGGUUUAAAGGGAGCGUAGGUGGACAGUUAAGUCAGUUGUGAAAGUUUGCGGCUCAACCGUAAAAUUGCAGUUGAUACUGGCUGUCUUGAGUACAGUAGAGGUGGGCGGAAUUCGUGGUGUAGCGGUGAAAUGCUUAGAUAUCACGAAGAACUCCGAUUGCGAAGGCAGCUCACUGGACUGCAACUGACACUGAUGCUCGAAAGUGUGGGUAUCAAACAGGAUUAGAUACCCUGGUAGUCCACACAGUAAACGAUGAAUACUCGCUGUUUGCGAUAUACAGUAAGCGGCCAAGCGAAAGCAUUAAGUAUUCCACCUGGGGAGUACGCCGGCAACGGUGAAACUCAAAGGAAUUGACGGGGGCCCGCACAAGCGGAGGAACAUGUGGUUUAAUUCGAUGAUACGCGAGGAACCCUACCCGGGCUUAAAUUGCAUUUGAAUAUAUUGGAAACAGUAUAGCCGUAAGGCAAAUGUGAAGGUGCUGCAUGGUUGUCGUCAGCUCGUGCCGUGAGGUGUCGGCUUAAGUGCCAUAACGAGCGCAACCCUUAUCUUUAGUUACUAACAGGUCAUGCUGAGGACUCUAGAGAGACUGCCGUCGUAAGAUGUGAGGAAGGUGGGGAUGACGUCAAAUCAGCACGGCCCUUACGUCCGGGGCUACACACGUGUUACAAUGGGGGGUACAGAAGGCAGCUACCUGGUGACAGGAUGCUAAUCCCAAAAGCCUCUCUCAGUUCGGAUCGAAGUCUGCAACCCGACUUCGUGAAGCUGGAUUCGCUAGUAAUCGCGCAUCAGCCAUGGCGCGGUGAAUACGUUCCCGGGCCU